Pelobates cultripes (western spadefoot toad) is the source of this 313-nucleotide non-coding RNA. The record is from the annotation of a GenBank genome assembly. Lineage: Eukaryota; Metazoa; Chordata; Amphibia; Anura; Pelobatidae.
AUUCUGCAGAAAACGCUGUGUGGGCCUCGAUGGCCGUGGACCAGGGCCGGCAGGCGAGAUCUUUUCAUAUGCCCUGCCGGCCCAUGCAGAGCCAGCCUUGCUGUAAGCCCUCUAAGGCUGGCGAGGAGAUGAAAGAUCUCCCUCACUGGCCCGCUGGCACUUGGUUCCAGCAGAGGGAGGGAAGGGCCUGAGAGGCUCUGUAUUCCUCCCGUGAGUAAGCUGGUUGGAGGUUUGUCGUCCGUUACCAUGGCAAUGUUUCAAUACAGUGCUGGCUCGCAGGAGGACAGGAGAGUCAGCCUGCAGCCAGAGGAAC